ACACGGCAUGCCUAGUACGGCGAGUGAGCGGCAACAGCUCAAAUUUGAAAGCUAGCCUUCGGGUUCGCAUUGUAAUUUGUAGAGGAUGAUUUGGGGAAGCCGCCUGUCUAAGUUCCUUGGAACAGGACGUCAUAGAGGGUGAGAAUCCCGUAUGUGACAGGAAAUGGCACCCUAUGUAAAUCUCCUUCGACGAGUCGAGUUGUUUGGGAAUGCAGCUCUAAAUGGGAGGUAAAUUUCUUCUAAAGCUAAAUAUUGGCGAGAGACCGAUAGCGCACAAGUAGAGUGAUCGAAAGAUGAAAAGCACUUUGGAAAGAGAGUUAAAAAGCACGUGAAAUUGUUGAAAGGGAAGCGCUUGCAAUCAGACUUGUUUAAACUGUUCGGCCGGUCUUCUGACCGGUUUACUCAGUUUGGACAGGCCAGCAUCAGUUUCGGCGGCCGGAUAAAGGCUCUGGGAAUGUGGCCUCCACUUCGGUGGAGGUGUUAUAGCCCAGGGUGUAAUACGGCCAGCCGGGACUGAGGUCCGCGCUUCGGCUAGGAUGCUGGCGUAAUGGUUGUAAGCGACCCGUCUUGAACCACGGACCCA
This 583-nucleotide ribosomal RNA is filed under the name Aureobasidium pullulans. Its description in RNAcentral is "partial large subunit ribosomal RNA". It matches the Rfam family "Eukaryotic large subunit ribosomal RNA", at positions 68 to 669 of the family's 3401-position model. Lineage: Eukaryota; Fungi; Ascomycota; Dothideomycetes; Dothideales; Saccotheciaceae. The record is from RNAcentral.